RNAcentral lists this ribosomal RNA (66 nucleotides) under Arabis alpina (gray rockcress). RNAcentral's name for it is "rRNA ENSRNAG00050208767". Lineage: Eukaryota; Viridiplantae; Streptophyta; Magnoliopsida; Brassicales; Brassicaceae. The record is from RNAcentral.
GGGGUGCAACACGAGGACUUCCCAGGAGGUCACCCAUCCUAGUACUACUCUCGCCCAAGCACGCUU